AGGUCGUGACUUGUGCCCGUUUGCUGAAUUUUAAUGGUCAAAUUGCACUUGUCCCGGCCUGC
This 62-nucleotide microRNA precursor is filed under the name Aedes aegypti (yellow fever mosquito). RNAcentral's name for it is "Aae-Mir-92-P4_pre stem-loop". The record is from RNAcentral. Lineage: Eukaryota; Metazoa; Arthropoda; Insecta; Diptera; Culicidae.